RNAcentral lists this ribosomal RNA (437 nucleotides) under uncultured bacterium. RNAcentral's name for it is "SSU rRNA". It matches the Rfam family "Bacterial small subunit ribosomal RNA", at positions 26 to 518 of the family's 1533-position model. The record is from RNAcentral.
AGAAUGAACGCUAGCGAUAUGCUUAACACAUGCAAGUUGAACGUUGUUUUCGAAUCAGAAUGAGAACAAAGUAGCGAACGGGUGCGUAACACGUGGGAAUCUGCCGAACAGUUUGGGCCAAAUCCCGAAUGAAUAAAAGCUAAAAAGCGCUGUUUGAUGAGCCCACGUAGUAUUAGGUAGUUGGUUAGGUAAAAGCUGACCAAGCCUACGAUGCUUAGCUGGUCUUUUCGGAUGAUCAGCCACACUGGGACUGAGACACGGCCCAGACUCCUACGGGAGGCAGCAGUGGGGAAUCUUGGACAAUGGGCGAAAGCCUGAUCCGGCAAUAUGGCGUGAGUGAAGAAGGGCAACGCAGCUUGUAAAGCUCUUUCAUCGAGUGUGCGAUUGUGACAAGACUCGAAUAAGAAGCCCCGGCUAACUCCGUGCCCAGCAGCCGC